Molecule: small nuclear RNA, 104 nt
Organism: Manis javanica (Malayan pangolin)
Lineage: Eukaryota; Metazoa; Chordata; Mammalia; Pholidota; Manidae
Source: RefSeq, a predicted model, not a curated record
GUGCUUGCUUAGGAAGCAUAUACAAUAAAAUUGGAAUGAUACAGAGAUUAACAUGGCCCCUGUGCAAGGAUGAAAUGCAAAUAUGUGAAGCACUCCAAUUUUUA